GACGAACGCUGGCGGCGUGCUUAACACAUGCAAGUCGAACGGAAAGGCCCUGCUUUUGUGGGGUGCUCGAGUGGCGAACGGGUGAGUAACACGUGAGUAACCUGCCCUUGACUUUGUGAUAACUUCAGGAAACUGGGGCUAAUAUCGGAUAGGAGCUCCUGCUGCAUGGGGGGGGUUGGAAAGUUUCGGCGGUUGUGGAUGGACUCGCGGCUUAUCAGCUUGUUGGUGGGGUAGUUGCUUACCAAGGCUUUGACGGGUAGGCGGCCUGAGAGGGUGACCGGGCACAAUGGGACUGAGAUACGGCGCAGAAUGGUACGGGAGGCAGCAGGGGGGAAUAUUGCGCAAUGGGCGGAAGCCUGAUGCAGAAACGCCGCGUGCGGGAUGACGGCCUUCGGGUUGUAAACCGCUUUCGCCUGUGACGAAGAGUGAGUGACGGUAAUGGGUAAAGAAGCACCGGCUAACUACGUG
This 468-nucleotide ribosomal RNA is filed under the name uncultured bacterium. RNAcentral's name for it is "partial 16S ribosomal RNA". It matches the Rfam family "Bacterial small subunit ribosomal RNA", at positions 28 to 507 of the family's 1533-position model. The record is from RNAcentral.